UGCAAAUGUUCUCUGUGUUUAAGAAUGUAUACAAACAUCUGUAAGGUAUCUGAUGUGUAUCAAUCAAAUGCACAGCCGUCUUCCUGUAUGUCAUUAUUUUCUGCAAAGUUCUUGGUAUGUACUACAGCUCCGGCCUACUCUGAAGUAGUCUCAGGUAGAGGGGAGGGAGUAAGUGGGGAGCCGUGUGCACUCUGCGGGAAGAGAGACAGGAGAGAUGAGCAUCAGUGUCUGUGGGCGCAGAGUUCAUAGGCAGGCAACAAACUUUUAUUUUCAGGUUGACGAUCAGUUAACUGGACUGUGAAAGCUGUUGUACCCUACCGCGAGGAGGAGACAGACGUCUUGCUGGUGCCAGAGAGGACCCUUCUGCUGGUGUGCUGUGCUUAUGUGUUAACGUGGGAACACGUGACACGGCAACUGUGAGUGCUGGGCCGCGCCCUGCUGGCGGCCUUGACCCAGUUUCACCAACUAUCCCCUUGAACUGCCUGGAGGCUGAGUACUGGUUUUUUGUGCUUUUAUUUUGCUGCUUGGCAACAAGUGAAGUGGCCAUGUUGUUUUAGGUCCCAUCGCACCCGAGCCACUACUCAGGCCUGCUACAAGGUGUUUGUUAACACAGAAAGACUGUUGCAGUUAAGGUGUGUGUGUCAGUGAGAGUGUGUGUGGGCCCACCAUAUUAUUUAAUUAUUUGGUUUCAGUUGAUAUUAGAUACCUUACCAUUGCUUGACAAACUUUAUUAACGUUACUUAUUUUCUUUUUUGUUAUUGGAAAUAAUUGGGAGUGGAGUUGAAUUUAUAAUUGACCCACUUGUGUGUGGUUCAUUUCCAUAUAGUCUAUUUUAUUGCACAUUUCAUGUCACAUACAUCAGAAAGGGAGUGUCAGUAGUAAGUAACAACAGGAACCCAGGGCCCCUCUCAAUAAAGCGCGGGACGCAUGUUGCACAUAAGUUGGAGUUUUUGACCACUGGCAAUGCUAUUAAUGCUAUUGUUUUCAGGUGAAGACCUGCAUGUUUCACAUUCAAAAUGCUUGAAUGUAUACAAAUACAGACAAAUUCCUGAAAACAGUUACAUGCUAUUGCAGUGAUGGACAGUUAUUGGCCAAAAUCAGCAACUUGCCAGAAAAGGCAAUAAAGAAGAGAUGUGGAAGCGACAAUGCAAAUGCAAGGAGGAAGAAACAAAACAAAAACAGGGCUUGUGAUAGCAAACUUAUGGUAGGAAAAAAUAGAGGAUUGGUAAUACAAGCAAAAAAAAAAAAAA
This is a long non-coding RNA of Oreochromis niloticus (Nile tilapia), 1250 nucleotides long. RefSeq lists it as uncharacterized. Lineage: Eukaryota; Metazoa; Chordata; Actinopteri; Cichliformes; Cichlidae. The record is from RefSeq and is a predicted model, not a curated record. The transcript has 2 exons.